This 93-nucleotide transfer RNA is filed under the name Betaproteobacteria bacterium. RNAcentral describes it as "tRNA-Ser". It matches the Rfam family "tRNA". Rfam says of the family: Transfer RNA (tRNA) molecules are approximately 80 nucleotides in length. Their secondary structure includes four short double-helical elements and three loops (D, anti-codon, and T loops). The record is from RNAcentral. Lineage: Bacteria; Pseudomonadati; Pseudomonadota; Betaproteobacteria. RNAcentral also lists the same sequence under 2 other names.
GGAGAGCUGGCUGAGUGGUCGAAAGCACUUCCCUGCUAAGGAAGCAUACGGGGUCAACCUGUAUCGAGGGUUCGAAUCCCUCGCUCUCCGCCA